GGACUGACCUGGCCGGAGACAGGCUGACACGGCUACAGUACCAGAGACUGGAGAAGCUGAGAAAUACAGCUUCGCAGGCAUCUUAGGAGCGUUAUUGAGGUAUAAUUGACAACACUGUAAGAUCUUUAAAGUACAACGUGACAAUUUGCUAUACAUAUGCAACGCGGAAGGACUCCCUUUCCCAAGUCAUCAUAGGGUAUGGAUUAUGCUUUUUGUCUAAAAAAGAUAAAGAAAAGUAACAAAAGCAACAACAACAGAUCAACGAUGCUCCUCUAAGUAUCAAUCGGGAAGCACAUGUGGAUGAGCCCUGUGGCCAGAGGUAUGGUGAGAUCCGGCUGCAUCGGUCAGGAGAGGUUAACUGCUGUGACGGUCAGUGCCCAGCACUAAAAGUCCACUUUCACACAUGAAAAUGUGCUGUUCCUGGCCAGCCGGCCCUCCCAUUUGACUCUUUUCCAAGCAAUUACUCAGGACCCAGGCUCCUUCAACCUUGUGUCUUGACCAUCCCCAAGGGCAGUAGAGCCCUCAGAUUCCUAAGUUCCCAGAUGGCAAGAAACCAAGGGAGUGGAGGAUGGUGUGGGAGGGUAGUGCCUGGGCAGUGUCGUCUGGCUUUAUACCCCAAAGGAAAAGGAAAUGGUCAGUGAACACAUGGCAAUCACGACCACCAUAGCCAAAAUAAACAACAAUUAAUUUUCAAAGUGUUCCCAUCUACACCUACUUUCCUGGGACAGCAACCCUGGAAAUAAAAU
Prionailurus viverrinus (fishing cat) is the source of this 746-nucleotide long non-coding RNA. RefSeq lists it as uncharacterized. The record is from RefSeq and is a predicted model, not a curated record. Lineage: Eukaryota; Metazoa; Chordata; Mammalia; Carnivora; Felidae. The transcript is spliced from 3 exons.